GUGGGGAAUAUUGGACAAUGGGCGAAAGCCUGAUCCAGCCAUGUCGCGUGUGUGAAGAAGGUCUUCGGAUUGUAAAGCACUUUAAGUUGGGAGGAAGGGCAGUAAGUUAAUACCUUGCUGUUUUGACGUUACCGACAGAAUAAGCACCGGCUAACUUCGUGCCAGCAGCCGCGGUAAUACGAAGGGUGCAAGCGUUAAUCGGAAUUACUGGGCGUAAAGCGCGCGUAGGUGGUUUUGUAAGUUGGAGGUGAAAUCCCCGGGCUCAACCUGGGAACUGCCUCCAAAACUUCAUGACUAGAGUACGGUAGAGGGUAGUGGAAUUUCCUGUGUAGCGGUGAAAUGCGUAGAUAUAGGAAGGAACACCAGUGGCGAAGGCGACUACCUGGACUGAUACUGACACUGAGGUGCGAAAGCGUGGGGAGCAAACAGGAUUAGAAACCCUAGUAGUCC
RNAcentral lists this ribosomal RNA (450 nucleotides) under uncultured bacterium. RNAcentral describes it as "partial 16S ribosomal RNA". It matches the Rfam family "Bacterial small subunit ribosomal RNA", at positions 354 to 796 of the family's 1533-position model. The record is from RNAcentral.